AACACAUGCAAGUCGAACGGUGAAGCCUUUCGGGGKGGAUCAGUGGCGAWCGGGUGAGUAACACGUGGGCAAUMUGCCMUGCACUSUGGGACAAGCCCUGGAAACGGGGUCUAAUACCGGAUAUUACCUGAGGGGGCAUYUUCUCGGGUGGAAAGYUCCGGCGGUGCAGGAUGAGCCCGCGGCCUAUCAGCUUGUUGGUGGGGUGAUGGCCUACCAAGGCGACGACGGGUAGCCGGCCUGAGAGGGCGACCGGCCACACUGGGAMUGAGACACGGCCCAGACUCCUACGGGAGGCAGCAGUGGGGAAUAUUGCACAAUGGGMGAAAGCCUGAUGCAGSGACGCCGCGUGAGGGAUGACGGCCUUCGGGUUGUAAACCUCUUUCAGCAGGGAAGAAGCGCAAGU
Molecule: ribosomal RNA, 403 nt
Filed under: Streptomyces sp. R-45560
Lineage: Bacteria; Bacillati; Actinomycetota; Actinomycetes; Kitasatosporales; Streptomycetaceae
Description: partial 16S ribosomal RNA
Rfam family: Bacterial small subunit ribosomal RNA
Source: RNAcentral